RNAcentral lists this ribosomal RNA (434 nucleotides) under uncultured bacterium. RNAcentral's name for it is "partial 16S ribosomal RNA". It matches the Rfam family "Bacterial small subunit ribosomal RNA", at positions 29 to 507 of the family's 1533-position model. The record is from RNAcentral.
AGCGAACGCUGGCGGCAGGCCUAACACAUGCAAGUCGAACGAACCUUUCGGGGUUAGUGGCGGACGGGUGAGUAACACGUGGGAACGUGCCUUUAGGUUCGGAAUAACUCAGGGAAACUUGUGCUAAUACCGAAUGUGCCCUUCGGGGGAAAGAUUAAUCGCCUUUAGAGCGGCCCGCGUCUGAUUAGCUAGUUGGUUGAGGUAAUGGCUCACCAAGGCGACGAUCAGUAGCUGGUCUGAGAGGAGGAUCAGCCACAUUGGGACUGAGACACGGCCCAAACUCCUACGGGAGGCAGCAGUGGGGAAUCUUGCGCAAUGGGCGAAAGCCUGACGCAGCCAUGCCGCGUGAAUGAUGAAGGUCGUAGGAUUGUAAAAUUCUUUCACCGGGGACGAUAAUGACGGUACCCGGAGAAGAAGCCCCGGCUAACUUCGUG